RNAcentral lists this transfer RNA (84 nucleotides) under Lacticaseibacillus pabuli. RNAcentral's name for it is "Lacticaseibacillus sp. KACC 23028 tRNA-Leu". It matches the Rfam family "tRNA". Rfam says of the family: Transfer RNA (tRNA) molecules are approximately 80 nucleotides in length. The record is from RNAcentral. Lineage: Bacteria; Bacillati; Bacillota; Bacilli; Lactobacillales; Lactobacillaceae.
GCGGGCGUGGCGGAACUGGCAGACGCGCUAGAUUUAGGUUCUAGUGGUAUUAUUACCGUGGGGGUUCGAGUCCCUUCGCCCGCA